GGCUUCAUGGCUUAGUGGUUAAAGCACCUGCCUAGUAAGCAGGACAUCCUGGGAUCGAAUCCCAGUGGGGCUU
Molecule: non-coding RNA, 73 nt
Organism: Phascolarctos cinereus (koala)
Lineage: Eukaryota; Metazoa; Chordata; Mammalia; Diprotodontia; Phascolarctidae
Source: the annotation of a RefSeq genome assembly